This 414-nucleotide ribosomal RNA is filed under the name uncultured microorganism. Its description in RNAcentral is "bacterial SSU rRNA". It matches the Rfam family "Archaeal small subunit ribosomal RNA", at positions 459 to 872 of the family's 1478-position model. The record is from RNAcentral.
CAGCCGCCGCGGUAAUACCGGCGGCCCGAGUGGCGGCCACUAUUAUUGGGCUUAAAGCGUCCGUAGCCGGGUUGGUUAGUCUCCCGGGAAAUCUGGCCGCUUAACGGUCAGAAUUCCGGGAGAUACUGCCAGCCUAGGGACCGGGAGAGGCCGAGGGUAUUCCCGGAGUAGGGGUGAAAUCCUAUAAUCCCGGGAGGACCACCUGUGGCGGAGGCGCUCGGCUGGAACGGGUCCGACGGUGAGGGACGAAGGCCAGGGGAGCAAACCGGAUUAGAUACCCGGGUAGUCCUGGCUGUAAACGAUGCGGACUUUGUGUCGGACAAGCUAUGAGCUUGUCCGGUGCCGGAGGGAAACCGUUAAGUCCGCCGCCUGGGGAGUACGGCCGCAAGGCUGAAACUUAAAGGAAUUGGCGGG